GGAGAGGUGGCAGAGUGGACGAAUGCACUGGUCUUGAAAACCAGCGUACAUGCAAGUGUACCGUGGGUUCGAAUCCCACCCUCUCCG
Molecule: transfer RNA, 87 nt
Filed under: Anaerolineae bacterium
Lineage: Bacteria; Bacillati; Chloroflexota; Anaerolineae
Description: tRNA-Ser
Rfam family: tRNA
About the family: Transfer RNA (tRNA) molecules are approximately 80 nucleotides in length. Their secondary structure includes four short double-helical elements and three loops (D, anti-codon, and T loops). Further hydrogen bonds mediate the characteristic L-shaped molecular structure. tRNAs have two regions of fundamental functional importance: the anti-codon, which is responsible for specific mRNA codon recognition, and the 3' end, to which the tRNAs corresponding amino acid is attached (by aminoacyl-tRNA synthetases). tRNAs cope with the degeneracy of the genetic code in two manners: having more than one tRNA (with a specific anti-codon) for a particular amino acid; and 'wobble' base-pairing, i.e. permitting non-standard base-pairing at the 3rd anti-codon position.
Source: RNAcentral